This 410-nucleotide ribosomal RNA is filed under the name uncultured Methylomirabilota bacterium. RNAcentral's name for it is "bacterial SSU rRNA". It matches the Rfam family "Bacterial small subunit ribosomal RNA", at positions 1025 to 1434 of the family's 1533-position model. Lineage: Bacteria; Methylomirabilota (SeqCode). The record is from RNAcentral.
AACGUGGAGACAGGUGGUGCAUGGCUGUCGUCAGCUCGUGUCGUGAGAUGUUGGGUUAAGUCCCGCAACGAGCGCAACCCUCACCCCUUGUUGCUACCAGGUAAAGCUGGGCACUCUAGGGGAACUGCCCCGGUCAACGGGGAGGAAGGCGGGGAUGACGUCAAGUCAUCAUGCCCCUUACGUCCUGGGCUACACACGUGCUACAAUGGCCGGUACAAAGGGAUGCCACACCGUGGGGUAGAGCUAAACCCAAAAAGCCGGUCUAAGUUCAGAUUGGAGUCUGCAACUCGACUCCAUGAAGGAGGAAUCGCUAGUAAUCGCGUAUCAGCACGACGCGGUGAAUACGUUCCCGGGCCUUGUACACACCGCCCGUCACACCACGAAAGCCAGCUGUACUCGAAGUCGCUGAG